GACGAACGCUGGCGGCGUGCCUAAUACAUGCAAGUAGAACGCUGAAGAGAGGAGCUUGCUCUUCUUGGAUGAGUUGCGAACGGGUGAGUAACGCGUAGGUAACCUGCCUUGUAGCGGGGGAUAACUAUUGGAAACGAUAGCUAAUACCGCAUAACAAUGGAUGACACAUGUCAUUUAUUUGAAAGGGGCAAUUGCUCCACUACAAGAUGGACCUGCGUUGUAUUAGCUAGUAGGUGAGGUAAUGGCUCACCUAGGCGACGAUACAUAGCCGACCUGAGAGGGUGAUCGGCCACACUGGGACUGAGACACGGCCCAGACUCCUACGGGAGGCAGCAGUAGGGAAUCUUCGGCAAUGGGGGCAACCCUGACCGAGCAACGCCGCGUGAGUGAAGAAGGUUUCCGGAUCGUAAAGCUCUGUUGUAAGUCAAGAACGGGUGUGAGAGUGGAAAGUUCACACUGUGACGGUAGCUUACCAGAAAGGGACGGCUAACUACGUG
RNAcentral lists this ribosomal RNA (497 nucleotides) under uncultured bacterium. RNAcentral's name for it is "partial 16S ribosomal RNA". It matches the Rfam family "Bacterial small subunit ribosomal RNA", at positions 28 to 507 of the family's 1533-position model. The record is from RNAcentral.